GAAGGAGAGGAUGAGGACGGAGGGAAGGUCUGCCUGGGAGGAGAGGAAAUGGAGAGUCCCAGGCCACACAGUAAGUAAAGAUGGGACAGAGAUUCGGACUUCUGCCUUGUGCUCAGACCUCAACUGUAAGUACAUCCCUCCCUCCUGGUUUAAAAACAUUCCCUUACUCCUUAACAUCAGUGUUCCAAUGGGAUAGUUCAUUCAUCCCUUUGGUAAAUAUUCAUCAGGCACCUACUAUAUUUUAGGCCCUGUGCGGGAGAUUAGUGCUGAACAAGCCAGAACCUGUUCCCUUCCUGAAGCUUUCCAUCU
Molecule: long non-coding RNA, 309 nt
Filed under: Callithrix jacchus (white-tufted-ear marmoset)
Lineage: Eukaryota; Metazoa; Chordata; Mammalia; Primates; Cebidae
Description: lncRNA (ENSCJAG00000079679.1)
Source: RNAcentral